AUGCUAAGGUUCACAAACCUUCUCUCUGUCUCCUCAGGAAAUUACCCAGAUCAGCAUUUCCCCAUCUUUCAUGGAAUAAAAGAGAAAUCACCAAGGAUUGGAAGUUGGCUGAUAGAACUGACAUCAGAAAGACCAUUCAAAACGAACAGCCAGUGUCAAGAUCCUGUAUACCCUUCCUGCCAUUACUCCCAAAGUAGCCUUUUCAUGGAUCCAGCUUUCAGGAUCUGUAAAGAGACACAACUGUUUUACAGUUCGAUUGGAACUGGGGAGGAGUUUAAAAGAAUCACAGUAAGCCCUCUGGUCUUUUCCAGGAGGAUAAUCAACAACAUUGACUGAUUAUGUUUGUAUGGCUUGUUGGAUAAAAAGGAAUGAACAGGAGCUCACCAGCCAUCAGAGAAUUGCAGCUAACCCUAGGUAAGCCUAUUGGAACAAAUCCUAUGGUCAAAGAUAUAUUUCUCAUAUAAUGAGAAACAAAACUACAGUUGAACAGUUGUGUUAGAAAUAAUCCACGUAGAACUUUGAAAUGUGUCCAUUUAUAUUUGGUUUAUAUGAAGCACCAGCCUCUACACAGUAUUACAAAUAUACUGCUUAUCAACGUCAAAGUGACUAGAAUGACUAGAACACUGCGUCCAUAGAAACUUUCUUUUUAUUAUUAUUAUUAUACUUUAAGUUUUAGGGUACAUGUGCAUGGACACAGGAAGGGGAACAUCAUAGAAACUUGCUGUCGUACCUCAUUACAGUACAGAUUAUCUACCUUUACUUUCCUAUAAUUCCCUAGAGCACACCUCUCUCAUUUUCCCUGUAUUUUCUAAAUUUAUGGAAUACAUACAGCUUGGAAAUCUUUAUGAUUAUCAGUCUAUUGUCCUAACUUUUAAUUAUCUGAAUCAUAAUAUAUGGGUUCUCUAAUAUAUAUACAGUAUAAUAUAAAAAUAUAUAAUAUUAGUAGCAGCAGCCAGCUUGCUUGCUUGUAUCCUUCCUCCUUCCUUUUUUCUUUCCUUCCUCCCUCCUGACCUUCCUACCUUCCUGCCUCUGUUCCUUCUUCCUCUUUUCCUCCCUCUCCCCCUUUCUUACGUUUCUGUAACAUGUUAUAAUGUCUUUCUGGCUCUAGGAUUGUGCCAUAUAAUGCCUUUCUCCAUCAUAGCUUCCUCGUUUCAAAGAUAUUUUGUCUGUGAAUAUGUAAAAUAAAUGUCAAAUUCCAGAUUGGCAGAAUAAAUGAGUAUUCUUAGAACUUGGCAAUUGGGUGCUACGGAUCCUAUUUAAUACUCCUACAUAUUUGUCUUAUUUUUUACUACAUGUUAGUGAUUCAGUGUUAAAGCCUGAAUUUUUAUACAGGCUGAAGGUUUAGGUUUAUGUGUUUGGUUUUUUUUCCUUUUGGAAUUGGCUGGUAGAUUAUUUACUGCUAAAAACACCAACUCAAUUAAAAUAGAUAUCAAUGCAUCAGGGCUGUAUAUCACAUGCUUGUAAACUGUUAUGUGCAGACCUCAGCAAUUUAUAACUCCUGCUUAAGUACUAAUACAUUGCUAAAAGACAUUAUCAUCAUUAAUUUUGCUUUUUUCUUCUUGCUGCUAUUCAAAGUCAUCCCCAUUUUGAUUUAAAAUUAAAUAAGUCACUUCAUGACAUACAUAAUUACUUAUAUCUGCAACCUGAGACAGAAUUUCUUUCAAGAGGAAUCAGAUUUAUCUCAACUAAUGAGUCAUUGAGUUUCAUUUCUAUUGCCAAGUACACAUUAUCUUUUAUUCAAUAUGAUAUGCCAGAAACUUCCCUAAAUGCCAAAAUAUCAUUUAUCCUCCCUCUACACUCUUUCCCCAGGGAUCCAGGCAUUUUUGUUCACUCACCUCAGCCCUGAUCCACAUGCCUGCUGUUUCCAUCCCAGCCAUCUCUGCAAGCUGCCAAUCAUGCUCCUUUUGGCCAGAAGGCUUAGGGCUUUUGAGUUUGUACAGCCAAAUAUCCAGAGACUGGGUUCACUCCACCCAACACUUUUGGAUUUUGAUUUCAGCAUUAUUUUUCACACAGACUUCCAGAAAUGAAAGGUGGCUUUACCAAAUCCCCAUGACACCUGUUUUUUUCUGUUUAUUUAUAUUUUGCAUUUUCCCAGCUACCACAUAGAAGCCAACCUAGGAGGAGACAGCAGAGGUGAUUGUAAGUGCACUGAGUUUCACAGUGAAUGCAUGCUGUCUGACUGCUGGCUAAGGAGCCUUAUUUACUGAAGGCAUUUUACAAUUUUCUGUUUCCUUCCAAACCACCUCAGCAAGAAUUUUCUUUUGAAUUUCGGUGGUGAGAGGUGAUAGAAUGAUGACAGGUUGGCAUGAUGCAGCCUUUACCUGUUGAAUAGAAAGAAGCUUAAAGUCUUUGAAGAAAAUAUCUAGGAAUAAUGAAAGAAUUUUUUUCCCUUGAGAACUCUGAAUAGUUCAAUAGAGUUAUUAUAAGCCACUAAAGGUGCAUGUUGCUUUUAACUGUGCCAUUCUUAUCUAUUCUCAAAAUUUAGAGAGAAAAAUGUUUGGAAUUAGCAGAUUAUUAUAUUUUUAUUACCUUACAUUUGAUUAUGCU
This is a long non-coding RNA of Pan paniscus (pygmy chimpanzee), 2547 nucleotides long. Lineage: Eukaryota; Metazoa; Chordata; Mammalia; Primates; Hominidae. The record is from Ensembl.